GGCAGCAUCUAAUUUCUUCUGGUUGUGUCAGGGCAAUUCAAUUAUUUUUAAAGGAUAAAAUAUUUAAAAGAUGCAAAAAUCAAAAUCACUGGCCGGGUGUGGUGGCUCAAAAAGAAGAAAAUAAGUAGGCCAGACGCAGUGGCUCACACCUGUAAUCCCAGCACUUUGGGAGGCUGAGGCAGUUAGACCAGGAGUUCAAGACCAGCCUGGACAACAUAGUGAAAUCCCAUCUCUACAAAAAUACAAAAAUUGGCCAGGUGUGGUGGCAUGCAUCUGUAUUCCCAGCUACCGGAGAGGCUGGGGUUGGAGGAUAGCCUGAGCCCAGGAGGUUGCGGCUGCAGUGAGCCAUGAUCACACCACUGCACUCCAGCCUGGAGAACAAAGCGAGAACUUGUCUCAAAAAAAAAAAGAAAGGAAGAAAGAAGAAGAAGAAGAAGAAAAAAGUAAGAGUUAUUAUCACUGCUAUCAAGCUCCUGUUUCAGCUGAGAGUCAGAACACCACAAAAGCAAACCACCUGCAAAAGGCCUGACACUUUCUGGCCACCUACCAGGCUUCAGGUUCUUCACCUCGCUUAAUUUUUACAACAACCCGUUAUGAGGCCUACAUGAGGACACUGGGUUCCCAAGCUCAAUCCCAGGUCUGACUGCCUCAAACCUCUCCUCUCCUAUCACUCUGACCUCUCUUCCCAUCAGAGUAUUUUCACCCACUUUCCGACCAAGUAAAAUUUCUUGCUCCUUUCAAAUUCCAGCUUAAAAUUGAAGCUCUGCCUGUAAAUGAUCCUUCCCAGCCUUCCUCCCAUGUGGAAUCUGAUCAGUCUGUGUGCCUUAAAACUCUGCUGGAUUAGGGAGGAACUGUCCUCUCCAUCCUUUCCCAUUUUUCUUUUAGGAGAGUACUGGAAAGCUAAUAAGGGUUAAUAAGGACACAGGCUCUGUAUCCAGAACCUGGGCACACCAGUUCCCUGCUGUGUGACCUUAAGCAAAUUACUUUUUCUUUCUAAGAGUCAGCGUCCUCAUCUGCAAAAACAAGGACAACAGUAUAAAUGUCAAUGAUUCAACCUCUAUUUGCUAUAUAUUUCUAAUCAAUUUCUCC
RNAcentral lists this long non-coding RNA (1089 nucleotides) under Homo sapiens (human). RNAcentral describes it as "HSALNT0229023". Lineage: Eukaryota; Metazoa; Chordata; Mammalia; Primates; Hominidae. The record is from RNAcentral.